RNAcentral lists this unclassified non-coding RNA (459 nucleotides) under Zea mays. RNAcentral describes it as "misc RNA Zm00001eb338480". The record is from RNAcentral. Lineage: Eukaryota; Viridiplantae; Streptophyta; Magnoliopsida; Poales; Poaceae.
CUGCCCUGGACGCCGGAGUCCCUCUGCCCGUUGCCAUGGCAGCCGUCAGGCCGAGCUCCACCCCUGCUCAUCUUCCCUAUGUCGCGCCCAGCGAGAGCUCCCAUCGCCGUGCCCCUGGCUGCUCUCUGUCAGCCGAGCGUGUGCCCAGCCGAACUCCUCCCUGCACGCGCUCGAAUUUCUUUCCUUCUCCACCGUGCGGCUCUGCUCGCCGUCGGGUCUCUGUAUCCAUGGCGCGGCUCUGCUGAAGCUCCUCUGCUCUUUUUUUUAACGCGCGCACGCAGUCCAUUCUUCUUCCCCGCCGUGGAGCCAUCCUUGCCGAGCACCGCUUGCCCAGCCAAGUCUCGCCCAGCUGCCCCUGGUGGCCGUCUUCUCUCCCAGCGCCUAGUCCCUACUCCCUGCGCCGCGGUCUCCUCCAAGCUCGCCGAGCUUCCUUGCGCUCGCGCGCAGCCGCUCCUCUGA